This 466-nucleotide ribosomal RNA is filed under the name uncultured bacterium. Its description in RNAcentral is "bacterial SSU rRNA". It matches the Rfam family "Bacterial small subunit ribosomal RNA", at positions 30 to 491 of the family's 1533-position model. The record is from RNAcentral.
AUUGAACGCUGGCGGCAUGCCUUACACAUGCAAGUCGAACGGCAGCACGGGAGCAAUCCUGGUGGCGAGUGGCGAACGGGUGAGUAAUAUAUCGGAACGUGCCCAGUCGUGGGGAUAACGUAGCGAAAGCUACGCUAAUACCGCAUACGAUCUAUGGAUGAAAGCGGGGGAUCGCAAGACCUCGCGCGAUUGGAGCGGCCGAUAUCAGAUUAGGUAGUUGGUGAGGUAAAGGCUCACCAAGCCGACGAUCUGUAGCUGGUCUGAGAGGACGACCAGCCACACUGGGACUGAGACACGGCCCAGACUCCUACGGAGGCAGCAGUGGGGAAUUUUGGACAAUGGACGCAAGUCUGAUCCAGCCAUUCCGCGUGCAGGAUGAAGGCCCUCGGGUUGUAAACUGCUUUUGUACGGAACGAAAGGUUUCUAUUAAUACUGGGUAGCUCAUGACGGUACCGUAAGAAUAAGC